RNAcentral lists this ribosomal RNA (466 nucleotides) under uncultured bacterium. RNAcentral's name for it is "partial 16S ribosomal RNA". It matches the Rfam family "Bacterial small subunit ribosomal RNA", at positions 28 to 505 of the family's 1533-position model. The record is from RNAcentral.
GACGAACGCUGGCGGCGUGCUUAACACAUGCAAGUCGAACGGAAAGGCCCUGCUUUUGUGGGGUGCUCGAGUGGCGAACGGGUGAGUAACACGUGAGUAACCUGCCCUUGACUUUGGGAUAACUUCAGGAAACUGGGGCUAAUACCGGAUAGGAGCUCCUGCUGCAUGGUGGGGGUUGGAAAGUUUCGGCGGUUGGGGAUGGACUCGCGGCUUAUCAGCUUGUUGGUGGGGUAGUGGCUUACCAAGGCUUUGACGGGUAGCCGGCCUGAGGGGGUGACCGGCCACAUUGGGACUGAGAUACGGCCCAGACGCCUACGGGAGGCAGCAGUGGGGAAUAUUGCACAAUGGGCGGAAGCCUGAUGCAGCAACGCCGCGUGCGGGAUGACGGCCUUCGGGUUGUAAACCGCUUUCGCCUGUGACGAAGCGUGAGUGACGGUAAUGGGUAAAGAAGCACCGGCUAACUACG